UUUCGCCUACGGGGAGCAGCAGUGAGGAAUAUUGGUCAAUGGACGAGAGUCUGAACCAGCCACGUAGCGUGAAGGAUGACUGCCCUAUGGGUUGUAAACUUCUUUUAUAUGGGAAUAAAAUGUUCCACGUGUGGGAUUUUGUAUGUACCAUAUGAAUAAGGAUCGGCUAACUCCGUGCCAGCAGCCGCGGUAAUACGGAGGAUCCGAGCGUUAUCCGGAUUUAUUGGGUUUAAAGGGUGCGUAGGCGGACUGUUAAGUCAGCGGUAAAAGCCCG
RNAcentral lists this ribosomal RNA (274 nucleotides) under uncultured bacterium. RNAcentral's name for it is "partial 16S ribosomal RNA". It matches the Rfam family "Bacterial small subunit ribosomal RNA", at positions 334 to 604 of the family's 1533-position model. The record is from RNAcentral.